UCGAGGGGUAACAGGGUGCUUGCACCGCUGACGACCGGCGCACGGGUGCGUAACGCGUAUACAAUCUACCUUAUAGAGGGGAAUAGCCCAGAGAAAUUUGGAUUAAUGCCCCAUAGUAUUAUUGAAUAGCAUUAUUUAAUAAUUAAACAUUUAUGGCUAUAAGAUGAGUAUGCGUUCUAUUAGCUGGAUGGUAAGGUAACGGCUUACCAUGGCUACGAUAGAUAGGGGUCCUGAGAGGGAGAUCCCCCACACUGGUACUGAGACACGGACCAGACUCCUACGGGAGGCAGCAGUGAGGAAUAUUGGACAAUGGGCGAGAGCCUGAUCCAGCCAUGCCGCGUGCAGGAAGACGGCCCUAUGGGUUGUAAACUGCUUUUACAGAGGAAGAAACACCCCGACGUGUCGGGACUUGACGGUACUCUGCGAAUAAGGAUCGGCUAACUCCGUGCCAGCAGCCGCGGUAAUACGGAGGAUCCAAGCGUUAUCCGGAAUCAUUGGGUUUAAAGGGUCCGUAGGCGGGACAAUCAGUCAGCGGUGAAAGUCUGUGGCUCAACCAUAGAAUUGCCAUUGAUACUGUUGUUCUUGAAUACUUAUGAAGUGGUUGGAAUAUGUAGUGUAGCGGUGAAAUGCAUAGAUAUUACAUAGAACACCGAUUGCGAAGGCAGAUCACUAAUAAUUUAUUGACGCUGAUGGACGAAAGCGUAGGUAGCGAACAGGAUUAGAUACCCUGGUAGUCUACGCCGUAAACGAUGGUUACUAGCUGUUCGGUCGC
RNAcentral lists this ribosomal RNA (772 nucleotides) under Gillisia sp. M5A-3. Its description in RNAcentral is "bacterial SSU rRNA". It matches the Rfam family "Bacterial small subunit ribosomal RNA", at positions 62 to 831 of the family's 1533-position model. Lineage: Bacteria; Pseudomonadati; Bacteroidota; Flavobacteriia; Flavobacteriales; Flavobacteriaceae. The record is from RNAcentral.